Long non-coding RNA from Taeniopygia guttata (zebra finch), 5892 nucleotides. The record is from Ensembl. Lineage: Eukaryota; Metazoa; Chordata; Aves; Passeriformes; Estrildidae.
UUUUUUUUUUUCUUUCAAGCUGGAAACCUACAAAAUAAGUCUUAGGUUUUCAUCAUAAUCUUUUGAGUUUUAAAUCUACUUCAUAAGUUGGCAAUUUUAAAUGGUUCCUGGUGAGUAGAGUCCUGGUGAGCUUCAAAACCACACACAGUUUCAAUGAAGCUGUGUGAACCUGCUUCAGAAUCUCUGCAAGUUUUCCAAGCUUUUAUGCUCUCGUAUGGUUUACAGACAAAAACCUACAGGGGUCCCAUUUAAAGCCUCCUAGCAGCUAAAAGAUAGAGAAAAAAUGGCUUUUAAAAAACCUGAAGUGCCCUCUUAUGAGUGCAUUAAAAGCAAUUUUAUUUGCUUUCACUUUCAAAAUGCUUCAAGCUGCCAAAGACGUGAUGCUAGAAAAUGACUCAUGAGUACUAGAGAAAAAUAGUCUUUGAACGUUGGUUCAUAGUAAGGGAUGAUAGAUAGGCAAGUGGAAUUUCUGUAUUCAGAAAGAAAUAUCUUGUGGCCUCAUAUUGCAGAAUUUUUUUUCUGUCUCAGUAAUCUGUUCUUCAGUGGUUCUUCACCUUUGUCUUACAGGUUUUCAGCAAUUGUGUGAAAAUCAGCUCAGAGUUUCAGUUUGUUCCUGUGGAUGCUAUCUAUCAAUGUUUGGAGACCAGGGCCUCCACAGAAAGGAACGACAAUGCCGAAACAGUGAACAAUUGUAAUUUAACCCACCUUUCCAGUAAAUCAUGUGUCAUCCUGUGGAUUGUCUGACAGUCUGUACGGUAGGUUUUAGGAAAUUUUAGUAUUGCAUUGUGUGUUUUACAUUUUCAUUGCAGUGUAUGGUACUGGAGUGGUUUCUUGAUUUAUUUUCUCUGUGGGAAAUACUGGUCACAAAGGCAAAGUAUUAAAAUGUCCUCCUCAUUUUGAUAUUGCUACAGCUUCUCACAGCUUUCUCUCUCUUCCAGUGUAAAUAAAGACAACAGUGUGGAGUAGACUUCCCAAAAUUCAAGAAUAUUUGGACCUUGUGUUCUGUUCCAAGGUUCUCUUGAACAAAUACACUUUCCUUUCUAAAUUGUAUUGCUGAAUGUCAGGGAACAAAAUUGUUAGGAAAGAUUAUUUAAUGAAAUCUAGAGAUUAUGUUACAAAACAAACUUUAAUGAACUAUUUAAGUUGAUUUUUAAUGGUUUAAACAGAUGUUACCUCUAAGAAGCUCUCACAAAGGUAUGACUUUUGAAGGCUUACCUUACGUAACUCAUGGUCUUGUAAAUGUGGCAUAUUUGCUGUGAAUAACCAUAGAGGAAAAGUUCUAACAGCAUUAACUUUUAAUGGUUUUAGUUUUAAAUUUUAAAACUAUGUCUCCACCAGCACCUUAGCUUUUUCUCUAGGGAGUCAAAAAGAAAGGAAAAUUUUAAUGCCCUUGGUUGUUGACAAUAGCUGAAAAAUGAAUAAAUAUUACAAGAAUUAAAUAACUAAAAGAAUUAAAUGAAAGUACAGAAGUGGUAGUAAAAGUAUAUGAGUUGUACUGUCCUAGUGACAAAACAGAAAGCAAGAUACAUGUGAACAGGAUGUAAGCAUAACCUGAGAUCAUGAGAUAAAGAUUCUUACCUGAUUUUAACUGUGAAAGCACAACCGUGAGCCUAAAACUUACAUCUGGAAAUAAUGCUGACUUACAGACUAGGAACCCAUUGUGUAGUUGAGUGCUAAUUGAAGGGGUUUGGCAUUUUUAGAAAUCAAGUAAAUUAAAUGAUGGAAUGAAAUUUUGAAAGCACUUGCAUACCUGGAGCAACAGUUGGUGCUUAAUCUCACCAUUUGCAUGUAUAAAUCACUUAAUGCAGGCAAAUUUUUGAUCCCCCAAAACUCAUUUGCUGCUCCUUCACAACUGCAUAACUUUUUCUGGGGUCAGUCAAUCCAUGUUAGGCAGCUGGUGUAUGUUAGGAAGUUAUUUCAAAGCCUCUUGCAUAUGCUAACUAUUUCUUGCAUAGGCUCUAUAGUUUCUGUGUACCCCUCUCCACUGUGAUCACCCCUGGAGUCCUCAGAGGAAUUACUCCAAAGCUCCAGGCAUCCCUGUGUGGCCUGUAUGGAACUAGUCUGUUAGGAUUGUCAUUACUGCUGCCAACAUGAAAAGAUGUUUGAAUUUAAUAAAAAAUCCCCUCCAAACUCCAAAUAAACAGGUCCCUUCCCCAGAAGAGCUGAGGCUUCCAGAACUGCUAUAGCACUACAGGAUUACUCAUAAGAAGAAUAAUCACUGGUAUCACCAGACAUGAAAGCAGCUAUGCUGUAGUAUGAUGUUACCCCCUUAGGAAGGGUCUAGGUGAGGUUCUCCUGCACUGCUUCAGCAAGGAGGUUAUUGUGGGGGUUUUUUAUGGCAUGGAGUUCCUUAUCUACUCUUUUGUAGAAAGAUGAAAUUUAUUUUGUGUCAUUGCAAAAGCAUAUAUGAGUAUAGAAUCAAAGAGAAAUUUGUAUACUAACACAGAACUUGCAUUUGAAUAUGAAAAAUGUAACAGCUUUUUAUUUGGUGGGGUAUAGAAUGAUACAGAAAAAUGUUGAUUCAUUGAAGGUAAGGAAGUUGACAGGUCAUUAAAAAAAGAUUUUGGGAAGAGACUUCGUAUACUUUAACACUUGGCUUUGCAAAAGGAGUGUUGUUGGUAGAUUAAGUAGAUGUUAGCUUUAGCUACACAGAUAAGGACUAAUUUUUCUUUAUUCCAGCAAUGUAUAGAAAAUAAGCUGUGUUUUAGAAGACAAAACUGUAGUUUAAUGAAGUCUUGGGCAGAAGUUACUGCCUGGAUCUUGCUAUGUUCUCAGAAGAGGUAACUGCCCUUCAGCUGCUUGUCACCAUCUUUCAGCUGGUGAUUAUCAUCAUCUCAGAUCCGUUCAUUGUGCAUGUUGUCAUUUUCUAACUUGUCUGUCAAAAUGAGUUAGGCUGAAAAGACUAUUUUUUUAAAGUUAACUUGGUUCUCUUUGAAGGCAACAGAUUGUGGAACAUUUGUAAUAAGAGCCCCUCCAGCAGAUAAUCUCAAGCAGAAGGGUGAUGACAGGCGGCUGGAGGUUGUAACCUCUUCUGAGCUGGAGGAGUUUCUUGAGAUAAAUUAGUUAUUCCAAAACUUGGGUGGAAGCAAGCUUAUCUGCUGCAGGGGUGGGGGUCUUGUAGAUCCCCCUCACCCUGCAAAAGCUGCUUCUGACACUUCCACAGCCGGGAGCCACCCAUGCUGCUGAUCUGCUCCCUUCUACAGGCAUGUGACUUAGAGCAGGGUGUCAGUAUUUAGAGCCUGUUUGAGUCAAAAAGACAUGCUGGAGUGGAAAGCAGGCCAGCUUGGAACAGUGAUGCUGACUAUGAGGAUGCCUUUGUCAGCUUGACUAAGGAUCAGCCCACCUACAGGGGUAGUGUCAUUCUUUGAUGAAAUUGGGUUGAAAUCCAGAUGCUCUCAUCCUAUAACUGCAACAAAAUGGGAAACAAAUGCUGCAGGAGCAACAGCAGAGACUGUGGGGGUCUGUCAAUGCCCUGGAGCACACUUCAGUUCUUGAAAACCUGCUUUCUCAGGAAUUCCAUUCAUAUAUGCUGAAAUGCUAACAUGAAGGUUGUCCUGAGAUGCUUUUGAGUUAAUGUGGUAAUGUGGGAGUUGCUAAAGCAUUUGUUCAUUGAGAUGCAUGAGUUGAGGACUUAUUAGUGUGGGAGGCCAAACUUCCUCUCUGCAGAGGAAGAACUCCACAGUGCUCAGUCUAGUUAUUAUAUCUCAGGAUAUGAAACUUUAUAAAUACUAUCUAAAGGAGGCACUUCAUGGUUCCUCUUACCAAGAAUUUGCCUUACUUGUUUAUAUGGGGAUAGGAUGAGGUCCAUUUUCCAUGUUAAUAUGAUAGACCUAAUCACUAGCAAGUCAGACUGAUACAUGGUCUCUCAAAUGGAGCUUCCUGUUGAAGAUGAAGAUGUAUUUGUCCUCAGUCCCAAAAUCCAAGAGGUCAUGGUCUUAAGCAGAUAAAACAGCCAUACAUGUGAAGUCAGACACAAACUCUGAAACAAAAAAGGCAAACAGGAUAUUUGAAGUGAAAUACAAGUAGCAGUGAUGUAAGUGCAAGGGUGGGCUACAAUCCUAGGGCCAUGAGAGGAUUAGCUGGAGGAAAGGUGAAGUCUGUUGACCUGUUCUGGCAUGGUGCCAAUGUGCACCACUAUAUCCAGCUGGGAGAAGUAGAAGGACCUGUAGUGGAGAUAGUUUGACUUGAUCUUGCCUUCUGUAGUGCUUAGUGUACAGGUCUAAUCUUGUAACUCCACAUUCCUGAAUUUCUGGCUUUAAUCACCAAGAACACCGUAUUCUUAUGAAGACUUUUGGUCUUCCUAGAGGGACUUAGGGAACAUGCUGGCUGUUUAAUACAGCAUUCUUGCAUACAGAUCACAGAAUCACUAGGUUGGAAAAGAUCUUCAUAAUCAUCGAGUCCAACCCAUGCCCUAAACACCUCAACUAAACCAUGGCACCAACUGCCACAUCCAGUCUUUUUUUAGACACAUCCAUGGAUGGUGACUCCACCACCUCCUCGGAUCGGUACUGCUAUUUCAGCAUCAAGCUUCUGUAAUUGUCAGUCUCAAUAAAUUGAAACUCUCAAAGCACUGAAGGGUAACACCAUGUCUAUUGUAGCUGACUCUCACAAUGUUUGUUUGAGAAACUACUCCAGUACUGUGUCAGUUCAAGAGUGAGUGUUAAGUUGCUGAGACAACUUACUGAGAUGCAUCUGAAAGAGAGGAUUUUUCUUUCAUACAGCUAUUGUGUCUGAUCACCUUUUAUUCACUUUGCUUAGAACUCUGGAAGUAAGAGUGAUGUGAAAAAAAUCUGUAGCUCAAUAUUUGUAUUGAAUGGUACUCUAUUACAACAGAGAAAUUCAUUUAUUUUAUGAUCAUACUGUUUUCUUCUUCUUAAAAAAACCCCGAACUAUAAAAAUAUUUCCUUUCUGAAAUUGUCCUUGAGGUGACUCACAAAUCUAAACAUUUUUUAACCAGAAACCUGCAAUUAUUCAAAAAGCUACAUGAAGUAUGUCUUUGCAAAACUUAAAGAGGACCAUGCAGCAGGAAAUAUCUACACCAACCAUUAAUGUAAAUGGGUGUUCCUGAAGGUGCAAUGGAAUGUUCCUGACUAAAAGAUAUCUUUAAUCCCUUUCUGAAAUGGAAGUUUGCUAUGCAGCUGAGGGCCAACUGAUCGUAAAAGGCUUAUUAUGAGGCUGAGACAUUGUUGGGUCUGGAUACUCUUUGAAUGGCAUCUCCAUGUCAGCCUAGCCCCAUGCUGAUUUUGCUUUCUUUCUCACUCUUAGGGAACAGCUAAAUGACAUAUAUUCUUCUUCCUGCUGAUGAGGUAAAUUGUAAACAUCCCUCUAGACUCUCAAAUUCACCUGCUAGAGUGAUCUGUCUCAGCUGUGGCAAUGCAGUUUCUUUUCAUGCAACUAAUGGGACAAUUAUAUCAGAAUGAUGAGAUCAUGCCUUUUUCUGAAAAGAAUAGGGAUCUUUCAUGAACAAAGAGAGCUUUAUUUACAUCUUUACAAAUAAAGCACCAUUUUAUUCAGUGAAAGUGGGUGACUUUUACAAUUUGGGUAGGCACAGCAUGGCAUGAAGGUGAACUCACUCUGUAGAGUGGUACAUAGAGCUUUGGUGUGGCUUUCUCAAAACAAAAUAAGCAGUAUUUUGGGCUUUUUUCCCUGCUUACACUGACCAGUAGACUAGUGUGCAGAGAGUUCUGGUAUUGCCUAGGUAAACCUAAGACUGUUGGAAGUUAUUUCAUUUGUUUGCUAAAUAAAUGUAGAGAAUCUAUCUUGGUCUUUUCAAGACUUUCCAUGUAGGUAGAUUUUGUGUGUGUAAAUCAAAGAGUAGCAGUGGACAGUUCUGUACUCUUGGGGAGCUACUGUGACUCCUUAUUUAAUCCCAAGUUAUGAGCCAUAUCUGAA